RNAcentral lists this ribosomal RNA (404 nucleotides) under uncultured bacterium. Its description in RNAcentral is "bacterial SSU rRNA". It matches the Rfam family "Bacterial small subunit ribosomal RNA", at positions 355 to 776 of the family's 1533-position model. The record is from RNAcentral.
UGGGGAAUAUUGCACAAUGGGCGAAAGCCUGAUGCAGCGACGCCGCGUGAGCGAAGAAGUAUUUCGGUAUGUAAAGCUCUAUCAGCAGGGAAGAUAAUGACGGUACCUGACUAAGAAGCACCGGCUAAAUACGUGCCAGCAGCCGCGGUAAUACGUAUGGUGCAAGCGUUAUCCGGAUUUACUGGGUGUAAAGGGAGCGUAGGCGGUUUUACAAGUCUGAUGUGAAAGCCCGCAGCUCAACUGCGGUAUUGCAUUGGAAACUGUAGAACUAGAGUGUCGGAGGGGUAAGUGGAAUUCCUAGUGUAGCGGUGAAAUGCGUAGAUAUUAGGAGGAACACCAGUGGCGAAGGCGGCUUACUGGACGAUUACUGACGCUGAGGCUCGAAAGCGUGGGGAGCAAACAGG